RNAcentral lists this non-coding RNA (205 nucleotides) under Staphylococcus argenteus. Lineage: Bacteria; Bacillati; Bacillota; Bacilli; Caryophanales; Staphylococcaceae. The record is from RNAcentral.
AUAGGAUUAAAGGACAAGUAAUAUUAUUUAAAAUCAUCAGAGAGCUAGUGGUUGCUGUGAACUAGUGUUUUUUAUAAUAUGAAUACACCUUGAUAAAUGAGACAUCCUACGUUUGUUAAUGAACGUAUCAUUAAUAGAGUGGAUAUUUUUCUUAUGAAAAGAAGAAUGUUUAAGUUUGGUGGUAACGUGCAAAAGCGCCCUUACA